CAAAGGCUUGGUCCUGACUUUCCUAUCAGCUUUAACCAAAUUUACACAUGCGAGUAUCCGCACCCCUGUGAGAAUGCCCCGCAGUCCCCCGUCCGGGGACAAGGAGCAGGUAUCAGGCACAUGACUACAUAGCCCACAACACCUUGCUUAGCCACACCCUCAAGGGAAUCCAGCAGUGAUAAACAUUAAGCUAUGAGUGAAAACUUGACUUAGUUAUGGUUAAAAGGGCCGGUAAAACUCGUGCCAGCUACCGCGGUUAUACGAGAGGCCCAAGUUGAUAGGCUCCGGCGUAAAGCGUGGUUAAGGAAUAAUAGAUAAUAAAGCCGAACGCUUACUAGGCUGUUAUACGCUUUACGAAAGUAAGAAGCACGUCCACGAAAGUAGCUUUACCCCGCCUGAACCCACGAAAGCCAAGAUACAAACUGGGAUUAGAUACCCCACUAUGCUUAGCCCUAAACAUUGAUAGUUUUACACAACCACUAUCCGCCUGGAGACUACGAGCAACAGCUUAAAACCCAAAGGACUUGGCGGUGCUUUAGACCCACCUAGAGGAGCCUGUUCUAUAACCGAUAACCCCCGUUUAACCUCACCUUUCCUAGUCAUUUCCGCCUAUAUACCGCCGUCGCCAGCUUACCCUGUGAAGGUCCCCUAGUGAGCAUAAUUGGUACAACCUAAAACGUCAGGUCGAGGUGUAGCGUAUGGAGAGGGAAGAAAUGGGCUACAUUCCCUAUUAUAGCGAAUCACGGAUAAUAGUACUGAAACGUGUAUCUAGAAGGAGGAUUUAGCAGUAAGCGGAAAGCAGAGCGUCCCGCUGAAACCGGCCCUGAAGCGCGCACACACCGCCCGUCACUCUCUCCAAGCAUCUUUUUUUAAUCUAACCUAAAAUCUUUUACCAGCAAAGGGGAGGCAAGUCGUAACAUGGUAAGUGUACCGGAAGGUGCACUUGGCAAAAC
RNAcentral lists this non-coding RNA (953 nucleotides) under Epinephelus undulosus (wavy-lined grouper). RNAcentral's name for it is "12S ribosomal RNA". It matches the Rfam family "Bacterial small subunit ribosomal RNA". Lineage: Eukaryota; Metazoa; Chordata; Actinopteri; Perciformes; Serranidae. The record is from RNAcentral.